GUUCAGUGUCUGCAUGCAGAGGGAGGAGAUACUGAAUGUUUGGAUGCAUUUUAGGCAGCCAUGACCCAGGAAGGAUCUCUAACAGCCAUCUAAGGAGUAGCCAGUGAAGUUAUCACUAGACUGUAAUGUAAACACUGCAUUUUUUCUGAAAAGACAGUGUUUACAGCAAAAAGCCUGACGGUAAUGAUUCUACUCACCAGAACAAAUUCAAUAAGCUAAAGUUGUUCUGGUGACUAUAGUGUCCCUUUAAAUUAAUAAUGAUUUAAAAACAAAUAUUCAUUCCUUCUUUCCUGUUGUUACCUAGUUGGGAGAGGG
Non-coding RNA from Pelobates cultripes (western spadefoot toad), 315 nucleotides. The record is from the annotation of a GenBank genome assembly. NCBI's taxonomy places the organism in Eukaryota, Metazoa, Chordata, Amphibia, Anura, Pelobatidae.